CUGGAGGUAUCAGAAGUGCGAAUGCUGACAUAAGUAACGAUAAAGCGGGUGAAAAGCCCGCUCGCCGGAAGACCAAGGGUUCCUGUCCAACGUUAAUCGGGGCAGGGUGAGUCGACCCCUAAGGCGAGGCCGAAAGGCGUAGUCGAUGGGAAACGGGUUAAUAUUCCCGUACUUGGUGUUACUGCGAAGGGGGGACGGAGAAGGCUAUGUUGGCCGGGCGACGGUUGUCCCGGUUUAAGCGUGUAGGUGUGUGUUCCAGGUAAAUCCGGUUCACUUUAACACUGAGGCGUGAUGACGAGGCACUACGGUGCUGAAGCAACAAAUGCCCUGCUUCCAGGAAAAGCCUCUAAGCAUCAGGUAACAUCAAAUCGUACCCCAAACCGACACAGGUGGUCAGGUAGAGAAUACCAAGGCGCUUGAGAGAACUCGGGUGAAGGAACUAGGCAAAAUGGUGCCGUAACUUCGGGAGAAGGCACGCUGACACGUAGGUGAAGUGAUUUACUCAUGGAGCUGAAGUCAGUCGAAGAUACCAGCUGGCUGCAACUGUUUAUUAAAAACACAGCACUGUGCAAACACGAAAGUGGACGUAUACGGUGUGACGCCUGCCCGGUGCCGGAAGGUUAAUUGAUGGGGUCAGCGCAAGCGAAGCUCCUGAUCGAAGCCCCGGUAAACGGCGGCCGUAACUAUAACGGUCCUAAGGUAGCGAAAUUCCUUGUCGGGUAAGUUCCGACCUGCACGAAUGGCGUAAUGAUGGCCAGGCUGUCUCCACCCGAGACUCAGUGAAAUUGAACUCGCUGUGAAGAUGCAGUGUACCCGCGGCAAGACGGAAAGACCCCGUGAACCUUUACUAUAGCUUGACACUGAACAUUGAGCCUUGAUGUGUAGGAUAGGUGGGAGGCUUUGAAGUGUGGACGCCAGUCUGCAUGGAGCCGGCCUUGAAAUACCACCCUUUAAUGUUUGAUGUUCUAACGUGGACCCGUUACCCGGGUUGCGGACAGUGUCUGGUGGGUAGUUUGACUGGGGCGGUCUCCUCCUAAAGAGUAACGGAGGAGCACGAAGGUUGGCUAAUCCUGGUCGGACAUCAGGAGGUUAGUGCAAUGGCAUAAGCCAGCUUGACUGCGAGCGUGACGGCGCGAGCAGGUGCGAAAGCAGGUCAUAGUGAUCCGGUGGUUCUGAAUGGAAGGGCCAUCGCUCAACGGAUAAAAGGUACUCCGGGGAUAACAGGCUGAUACCGCCCAAGAGUUCAUAUCGACGGCGGUGUUUGGCACCUCGAUGUCGGCUCAUCACAUCCUGGGGCUGAAGUAGGUCCCAAGGGUAUGGCUGUUCGCCAUUUAAAGUGGUACGCGAGCUGGGUUUAGAACGUCGUGAGACAGUUCGGUCCCUAUCUGCCGUGGGCGCUGGAGAACUGAGGGGGGCUGCUCCUAGUACGAGAGGACCGGAGUGGACGCAUCACUGGUGUUCGGGUUGUCAUGCCAAUGGCACUGCCCGGUAGCUAAAUGCGGAAGAGAUAAGUGCUGAAAGCAUCUAAGCACGAAACUUGCCCCGAGAUGAGUUCUCCCUGAGACUUAGAGUCUCCUGAAGGAACGUUGAAGACGACGACGUUGAUAGGCCGGGUGUGUAAGCGCAGCGAUGCGUUGAGCUAACCGGUACUAAUGAACCGUGAGGCUUAACCUU
This 1674-nucleotide ribosomal RNA is filed under the name Salmonella enterica. RNAcentral describes it as "partial 23S ribosomal RNA". It matches the Rfam family "Bacterial large subunit ribosomal RNA", at positions 1273 to 2925 of the family's 2925-position model. The record is from RNAcentral. Lineage: Bacteria; Pseudomonadati; Pseudomonadota; Gammaproteobacteria; Enterobacterales; Enterobacteriaceae.